AUGGCUCAGAUUGAACGCUGGCGGCAGGCCUAACACAUGCAAGUCGAGCGGAUGACGGGAGCUUGCUCCUUGAUUCAGCGGCGGACGGGUGAGUAAUGCCUAGGAAUCUGCCUGGUAGUGGGGGACAACGUUUCGAAAGGAACGCUAAUACCGCAUACGUCCUACGGGAGAAAGCAGGGGACCUUCGGGCCUUGCGCUAUCAGAUGAGCCUAGGUCGGAUUAGCUAGUUGGUGGGGUAAUGGCUCACCAAGGCGACGAUCCGUAACUGGUCUGAGAGGAUGAUCAGUCACACUGGAACUGAGACACGGUCCAGACUCCUACGGGAGGCAGCAGUGGGGAAUAUUGGACAAUGGGCGAAAGCCUGAUCCAGCCAUGCCGCGUGUGUGAAGAAGGUCUUCGGAUUGUAAAGCACUUUAAGUUGGGAGGAAGGGCAGUAAGYUAAUACCUUGCUGUUUUGACGUUACCGACAGAAUAAGCACCGGCUAACUCUGUGCCAGCAGCCGCGGUAAUACAGAGGGUGCAAGCGUUAAUCGGAAUUACUGGGCGUAAAGCGCGCGUAGGUGGUUUGUUAAGUUGGAUGUGAAAGCCCCGGGCUCAACCUGGGAACUGCAUCCAAAACUGGCAAGCUAGAGUACGGUAGAGGGUGGUGGAAUUUCCUGUGUAGCGGUGAAAUGCGUAGAUAUAGGAAGGAACACCAGUGGCGAAGGCGACCACCUGGACUGAUACUGACAC
This 732-nucleotide ribosomal RNA is filed under the name Pseudomonas sp. 120516_NH_C2_D5. RNAcentral's name for it is "bacterial SSU rRNA". It matches the Rfam family "Bacterial small subunit ribosomal RNA", at positions 19 to 746 of the family's 1533-position model. Lineage: Bacteria; Pseudomonadati; Pseudomonadota; Gammaproteobacteria; Pseudomonadales; Pseudomonadaceae. The record is from RNAcentral.